UAUCACGGGAGACACACGGCGGGUGCUAACGUCCGUCGUGAAGAGGGAAACAACCCAGACCGCCAGCUAAGGUCCCAAAGUCAUGGUUAAGUGGGAAACGAUGUGGGAAGGCCCAGACAGCCAGGAUGUUGGCUUAGAAGCAGCCAUCAUUUAAAGAAAGCGUAAUAGCUCACUGGUCGAGUCGGCCUGCGCGGAAGAUGUAACGGGGCUAAACCAUGCACCGAAGCUGCGGCAGCGACGCUGAUGCGUUGUUGGGUAGGGGAGCGUUCUGUAAGCCUGUGAAGGUGUGCUGUGAGGCAUGCUGGAGGUAUCAGAAGUGCGAAUGCUGACAUAAGUAACGAUAAAGCGGGUGAAAAGCCCGCUCGCCGGAAGACCAAGGGUUCCUGUCCAACGUUAAUCGGGGCAGGGUGAGUCGACCCCUAAGGCGAGGCCGAAAGGCGUAGUCGAUGGGAAACAGGUUAAUAUUCCUGUACUUGGUGUUACUGCGAAGGGGGGACGGAGAAGGCUAUGUUGGCCGGGCGACGGUUGUCCCGGUUUAAGCGUGUAGGCUGGUUUUCCAGGCAAAUCCGGAAAACUAAGGCUGAGGCGUGAUGACGAGGCACUACGGUGCUGAAGCAACAAAUGCCCUGCUUCCAGGAAAAGCCUCUAAGCAUCAGGUAACAUCAAAUCGUACCCCAAACCGACACAGGUGGUCAGGUAGAGAAUACCAAGGCGCUUGAGAGAACUCGGGUGAAGGAACUAGGCAAAAUGGUGCCGUAACUUCGGGAGAAGGCACGCUGAUAUGUAGGUGAAGUCCCUCGCGGAUGGAGCUGAAAUCAGUCGAAGAUACCAGCUGGCUGCAACUGUUUAUUAAAAACACAGCACUGUGCAAACACGAAAGUGGACGUAUACGGUGUGACGCCUGCCCGGUGCCGGAAGGUUAAUUGAUGGGGUCAGCGCAAGCGAAGCUCUUGAUCGAAGCCCCGGUAAACGGCGGCCGUAACUAUAACGGUCCUAAGGUAGCGAAAUUCCUUGUCGGGUAAGUUCCGACCUGCACGAAUGGCGUAAUGAUGGCCAGGCUGUCUCCACCCGAGACUCAGUGAAAUUGAACUCGCUGUGAAGAUGCAGUGUACCCGCGGCAAGACGGAAAGACCCCGUGAACCUUUACUAUAGCUUGACACUGAACAUUGAGCCUUGAUGUGUAGGAUAGGUGGGAGGCUUUGAAGUGUGGACGCCAGUCUGCAUGGAGCCGACCUUGAAAUACCACCCUUUAAUGUUUGAUGUUCUAACGUUGACCCGUAAUCCGGGUUGCGGACAGUGUCUGGUGGGUAGUUUGACUGGGGCGGUCUCCUCCUAAAGAGUAACGGAGGAGCACGAAGGUUGGCUAAUCCUGGUCGGACAUCAGGAGGUUAGUGCAAUGGCAUAAGCCAGCUUGACUGCGAGCGUGACGGCGCGAGCAGGUGCGAAAGCAGGUCAUAGUGAUCCGGUGGUUCUGAAUGGAAGGGCCAUCGCUCAACGGAUAAAAGGUACUCCGGGGAUAACAGGCUGAUACCGCCCAAGAGUUCAUAUCGACGGCGGUGUUUGGCACCUCGAUGUCGGCUCAUCACAUCCUGGGGCUGAAGUAGGUCCCAAGGGUAUGGCUGUUCGCCAUUUAAAGUGGUACGCGAGCUGGGUUUAGAACGUCGUGAGACAGUUCGGUCCCUAUCUGCCGUGGGCGCUGGAGAACUGAGGGGGGCUGCUCCUAGUACGAGAGGACCGGAGUGGACGCAUCACUGGUGUUCGGGUUGUCAUGCCAAUGGCACUGCCCGGUAGCUAAAUGCGGAAGAGAUAAGUGCUGAAAGCAUCUAAGCACGAAACUUGCCCCGAGAUGAGUUCUCCCUGACUCCUUGAGAGUCCUGAAGGAACGUUGAAG
RNAcentral lists this ribosomal RNA (1891 nucleotides) under Escherichia coli. RNAcentral's name for it is "partial 23S ribosomal RNA". It matches the Rfam family "Bacterial large subunit ribosomal RNA", at positions 973 to 2843 of the family's 2925-position model. Lineage: Bacteria; Pseudomonadati; Pseudomonadota; Gammaproteobacteria; Enterobacterales; Enterobacteriaceae. The record is from RNAcentral.